GAGGUUUUGCUCAAGUGGUAGAGUGCUUGCCUAACAAGCAUGAGGCCUUGAGUUCAAAAACCUCA
Molecule: transfer RNA, 65 nt
Filed under: Dipodomys ordii (Ord's kangaroo rat)
Lineage: Eukaryota; Metazoa; Chordata; Mammalia; Rodentia; Heteromyidae
Rfam family: tRNA
About the family: Transfer RNA (tRNA) molecules are approximately 80 nucleotides in length. Their secondary structure includes four short double-helical elements and three loops (D, anti-codon, and T loops).
Source: Rfam by way of RNAcentral